Molecule: ribosomal RNA, 894 nt
Filed under: uncultured bacterium
Lineage: Bacteria
Description: bacterial SSU rRNA
Rfam family: Bacterial small subunit ribosomal RNA
Source: RNAcentral
AGAGUUUGAUCCUGGCUCAGGACGAACGCUGGCGGUGUGCUUAACACAUGCAAGUCGAACGGUAAGGCCCUUCGGGGUACACGAGUGGCGAACGGGUGAGUAACGCGUGAGUAACCUACCCUUGACUCUGGGAUAACAGUUGGAAACGACUGCUAAUACCGGAUACUCAGUCUUUCAGGCAUCUGGAGGAUUGGAAAGCUCCGGCGGUCAGGGAUGGACUCGCGUCCUAUCAGCUUGUUGGCGGGGUAACGGCCCACCAAGGCGACGACGGGUAGCCGGCCUGAGAGGGCGACCGGCCACAUUGGGACUGAGAUACGGCCCAAACUCCUACGGGAGGCAGCAGUGGGGAAUAUUGCACAAUGGGCGCAAGCCUGAUGCAGCAACGCCGCGUGCGGGAUGACGGCCUUCGGGUUGUAAACCGCUUUCAGCAGGGACGAAGUGAAAAUGACGGUACCUGCAGAAGAAGCACCGGCUAACUACGUGCCAGCAGCCGCGGUGAUACGUAGGGUGCGAGCGUUGUCCGGAAUUAUUGGGCGUAAAGAGCUUGUAGGCGGUUAGUCGCGUCGAAAGUGCAAACUCAGGGCUUAACCCUGAGCCUGCUUUCGAUACGGGCUGACUAGAGGAAGGUAGGGGAGAAUGGAAUUCCCGGUGGAGCGGUGGAAUGCUCAGAUAUCGGGAGGAACACCAGUGGCGAAGGCGGUUCUCUGGACCUUUCCUGACGCUGAGAAGCGAAAGCGUGGGGAGCAAACAGGCUUAGAUACCCUGGUAGUCCACGCCGUAAACGGUGGGUACUAGGUGUGGGGAACAUUCCGCGUUCUCUGUGCCGUAGCUAACGCAUUAAGUACCCCGCCUGGGGAGUACGGCCGCAAGGCUAAAACUCAAAGGAAUUGACGG